AAAUUGAAGAGUUUGAUCAUGGCUCAGAUUGAACGCUGGCGGCAGGCCUAACACAUGCAAGUCGAACGGUAGCACAGAGAGCUUGCUCUCGGGUGACGAGUGGCGGACGGGUGAGUAAUGUCUGGGAAACUGCCUGAUGGAGGGGGAUAACUACUGGAAACGGUGGCUAAUACCGCAUAAUGUCGCAAGACCAAAGAGGGGGACCUUCGGGCCUCUUGCCAUCAGAUGUGCCCAGAUGGGAUUAGCUAGUUGGUGAGGUAACGGCUCACCAAGGCGACGAUCCCUAGCUGGUCUGAGAGGA
RNAcentral lists this ribosomal RNA (301 nucleotides) under Salmonella enterica. RNAcentral describes it as "partial 16S ribosomal RNA". It matches the Rfam family "Bacterial small subunit ribosomal RNA", at positions 1 to 300 of the family's 1533-position model. The record is from RNAcentral. Lineage: Bacteria; Pseudomonadati; Pseudomonadota; Gammaproteobacteria; Enterobacterales; Enterobacteriaceae.